UUCAUCUUAAACUUUAAAAUACAACAAAAGACACUUGCUUGUAGACAAACUACACCUCCAGUUUCCUUCAACUCCAGAGAUAAUGAAUCGUUGGGUUGGGUCAAUAUUUCUAUGCAUUAUCAGCACAUUGCUUCUGACGAGCUGGUUGGUGGCGGCGGAGGGGGAGACAUGCUCGGGGAUAGUACCAAUGCAAUAUCGAAAUGAUAAGAUAUCGAUAUUGGACUUUGGAGGUGUAGGUGAUGGGCGGACAUUGAAUACAAAAGCGUUUAAAGAAGCAAUCUUUAGAAUUCAACACUUGAAGAGGAAGGGUGGAACUUUGCUUUACAUACCUGCUGGUGUAUAUUUGACUGGCCCAUUUGAUCUUACUAGUCGAAUGACUCUUUAUUUGGCCCGCGGUGCUGUUAUCAAAGCCACUCAGGAUCCCAGUCAAUGGCCAUUAGUUGAUCCAUUGCCUUCAUAUGGGAGAGGAAGAGAGCGACCUGGUGCAAGGUAUAUGAGCUUACUCCAUGGAGACGGGCUCCAUGAUGUGAUAAUCACAGGUGAGAAUGGUACUAUUGAUGGCCAGGGUGAUGUUUGGUGGAAUAUGUGGAGGCAAAGAACUCUUCAGUUUACACGACCUCAUCUCGUUGAACUAAUGAACUCCAGAGGCAUACUCAUUUCUAAUGUCAUUUUCAAGAACUCUCCCUUUUGG
RNAcentral lists this unclassified non-coding RNA (691 nucleotides) under Hevea brasiliensis (rubber tree). Lineage: Eukaryota; Viridiplantae; Streptophyta; Magnoliopsida; Malpighiales; Euphorbiaceae. The record is from RNAcentral.